UUUUAGAGGUGAAAAAUGAUAUAAAUACUGUUUGGUUUCUCACACAAACCGAUCGUUUCAUGUCUUAGGACAUCAAUGUGUCGUCACGAGCCGCAGGGUUUAAUUUGGAUUUGUCUGUGCAUGUUUUUUUUUACUCUUAUAGAUGGAGUUCCCAUUGACAUGCAUUAUACGACUGACAGACCGCAACGGUUGGAGUUAAAAUCAUCAUUUGUGUUCUACUGAAGAAACAAACUCACCUACAUCUUGGAUGCCCUGGGGAUUCAGCCGCAUUAAAACAUCAGCUUCAGUAAUGUGUGAGCCUCAGGGUCCCAUACGGUGAGGGCCGUCCUUGUGUACGCUCAUCACAGCUUCUUCUGGUGCAUGCUUAUGAACACAUCAUGAGGGGUGAGAAGGUAGAAUAAUGCCACUGCGUGCCACUCUGUGACAGCUUGGACACACCUGCCGGUUCCCAUCAUGCAUCUCACGUUCCUUCUCCUUCAUCUCUACCUAAUUAAGAUUCCAUGCAUCUCAGAACGCUGUGCUCUGACCUUGCCUGCUCCGAUGCAGCCUCUGCAUGGAAACUGUGGCCCGUACGGUAUCAUGAGGACAUGGUCCAGUCAGGCGGAAUAUUGAUUCAGAGCAGAUAUUGAUCGCGUAUACAACACUCCAUUAACUUCUCUCGCAUGAACACAAUGCAAGUUAACACCUUGUGCCUGCUGUUAUGAGUACUGCUCUACAGUUCCAUAUAGUAGCACUUUAACAUUACAUUGAUUACAUGUCAGUAUAAUUAAUAACAAUGGUAACUAGAUUUGCAUUUCCUGAAGGAAAUACUAGUGCUUGUACGAUAAAAUAACAGUAUUAUAAAUAGUUACAUAUAUACAAGAAUGACAAGAUCACAAUUCAGUAUGCAAAUAUUAUGACGUCUUUAAAUGUUGAACAUUUCUGUGGUGGAGAUUUUGCUACUCAACGACUUAAAGAGGACCUAUUAUGCCCUUUUACAAAGUCUUGAUUUUGUUUUGGGGUACACUAGAAUAGGUUUUGUUGCUUUAUUGUAAAACAAAAAAAAAACCCACUUUUUUUUUUUACAUUAUUGCAGCACCUCUCUUCCCAGUCUGUCAGUAAUGCUGUUUAGUUCUCGUCUCAAUGAAGCUCCUCCUUCUGAAAAGCGCAAUGUCCUUAGAUUGGUCGGCUGGACCAAUGUGUUGUGAUUGGUCAAAUGCUUCAAGCGUGUUUCAGAAAUGUCACGCCCCUUAGCAUAAGUGUGAAUUUCCACACACCAGGUGUGUUCGACAUUGGCUGCGGCUAGAUGCAACUGAUUGGCGAGAGUAGCCGCGUGCAGUCAGAGUGGUGCUGAAAACGGAGAUAUGAAGUUGUACACUUUCUGCUUCUCGUAGUGACAGCGUGAGCGUUUGCAUACUUUAUCACAGCUGAAGUGAAAUAAAUGCAAUAUUUGACUAAUACACAGAUGUUUCAGAGAGAUUGUCAUUCAAUACUUUAUGUACUGCUUACAGCGUCUUUUUACAAGAAUAAAGUUCAACAUAAGCAUAUAUUAUUUAAAUACCAAUGUAGUGGGGUCUAUAAAUGUAGUGGGGUCUAUAUAUUGAUAAACAUGACACAAUACAACAUCGCGACUACAUGAAAAGAGCUUUAACUGUUAUAAAAAUACAGAUUUUUGAGCAUUAAUGGAACUGAAGGUGUGAGAAUAAACACGAAACACGUUAUCGUGCAAUGAAUCCGUCCAGUCGUGAAACAGCUGUGUCGUCAUCAGAGCUUGUGCAGCCGCUCUUGAGAAGCUGCGCAGAAUGAACCAGCCGGCUGCUCUCGAAUCGCUCUCGUGGCACUUUUAUGCCUUACGUCACAGUCACAUGGCGUCGGCAUGUCGGUCUGUACAGAGCUGCAUGAAGUCGAACAAGCCUACUACUAACGCAACUGGACCAGGCCUCGCCCCUUUUUUUGUGUGUCUUGGGUGGGAAUUAUUUAAAUUGGGGAAUAUUGAGACUAUUGAGACUAUUGAGGAAUGAGGAAUAUUGAGAAUGUUCAAUCCUGGAAGAAAACUCAAGACUACAGCCAAGGCAUUUCAGGAGUUCAGAAACAGUGCUUACUGAUAUAGAGAAUAACUCCCUUUGGAGUGGAAUUUGUGCUUUGUAAGUUUUCAGACCUUUUUCAUGCUCAAACAUCAACACUACACACUGAACUAGUUGAAAAUAUAAAAAGCAUAAUAGGUCCUCUUUAAAUCUUUUGAAACUGUUCACCAAAGAGAUUUGUUCAGAUUCAUUUACUGAUUGUUACAUCGGUGAGUGUCUUUUUGAGUGUUAUGAGUGAGUCACUGAAUCAUUCGCCAACCACAUCGAUUAUGACUGUAACCAGUCUUAUUAUGCUUUAUUAAAAAAAAAGGAUUUUGA
Molecule: long non-coding RNA, 2381 nt
Organism: Ctenopharyngodon idella (grass carp)
Lineage: Eukaryota; Metazoa; Chordata; Actinopteri; Cypriniformes; Xenocyprididae
Exons: 2
Source: RefSeq, a predicted model, not a curated record